GAUACAAGCCACAGGAAUAGAAGGGGCUCUGGCCCAUAAGGUAUCUUACAAACCCUGGAAGGGACCCUGAGCAAUGUAUCUACAACUGGAAGCCACUUCCAGAAUGCAAUCAAAGUUGACCUGCACAAGGCUGAAGUAGUCACAGGAUGCCAGCAGAAGAUAACAUGUGAUGAAAGAAGUGGCCCUUUAAUAAGUGAGCAAAGGAAAUGUGGUCCAAGGCUGUAGACAGAGUCUGUCCUGCGGAAGAUGGUUUGGAAAGGACCAUCUGGGCCACCUCCCCCUCCAGGGGGGUCUAGUCCAGUAAAUGGAUGAAACUAGGAAAACUCAUGUUGAGCACGACGGCCCAGGCCCAUAAAGAUAAACAUCGCGUGUCCUUUCUCAUCAGAGGCUCCCUGCUCCAAAUCUUCAGACAUGAGUGCAUAGCCUGGAGAAACUGCCAGAAACCAGGAGAGUACAAAGAAAUAUUUCCCAAGGACACGGCCUGAUUAGUUUGCCAAAGGACAGAGCGUUAUCAGGGAAGGUAAGCAGAACUCUUUAUCAACCCUUACAGAAUUGGUGGCUGGGACUGGAAGCUAAGCUUCCCAGUCUCGAGGGCAGCUGGCAGAGAAAGUCUUUGCCAAGCCUGGAUCCCACG
Molecule: long non-coding RNA, 634 nt
Organism: Mastomys coucha (southern multimammate mouse)
Lineage: Eukaryota; Metazoa; Chordata; Mammalia; Rodentia; Muridae
Exons: 3
Source: RefSeq, a predicted model, not a curated record